GGCAUCGAUGAAGAACGCAGCGAAAUGCGAUAAGUAAUGUGAAUUGCAGAAUUCCGUGAAUCAUCGAAUCUUUGAACGCACAUUGCGCCCUUUGGUAUUCCGAAGGGCAUGCCUGUUCGAGCGUCAUUGCAACCCUCAAGCACUGCUUGGUAUUGGGU
Molecule: ribosomal RNA, 158 nt
Filed under: Physcia dubia
Lineage: Eukaryota; Fungi; Ascomycota; Lecanoromycetes; Caliciales; Physciaceae
Description: 5.8S ribosomal RNA
Rfam family: 5.8S ribosomal RNA (bases 2-126)
About the family: 5.8S ribosomal RNA (5.8S rRNA) is a component of the large subunit of the eukaryotic ribosome. It is transcribed by RNA polymerase I as part of the 45S precursor that also contains 18S and 28S rRNA.
Source: RNAcentral